GAGAGAAGGAACACCAGAAUAUUAUCGAGGAGAGACGCGUCAGGAGGUUCGACCAGAGGCUAUUCGAAGAAACUCAAGAUUGCUGUGCCUUACAAACCGGGCUUUAACGUAUUUGUGAAUGCAACUACUGAAAAAGUCACUGGCUACUGCAUUGACGUCUUUGAGGCUGCCGCGAAGAACCUACCACAUGUUCUUGAUUACCACUUCGUUGUAGUCGACGGUUUGUAUGACCAACUAGUACGCAAUGUGUCUUCAGGGAUCUUCGAUGCAGCAGUGGGUGACAUAACCAUAACUGCUGAGCGAGCUGUUCAUGUGGACUUCACGAUGCCAUACAUUGAGUCGGGCGUGUCAUUGCUUGUGCUCAACGAGGAUGACUCCAAGCCAACAAUUGAAUGGGUCUUCUUAAAGCCACUGACAAUGGAACUUUGGCUAGCAAUUGUGGGUGGCUUCUUUCUCACUGGAAUAGUUGUGUGGAUGAUUGAGCGGCCUAAAAACCUGGAGUACCAAGGAUCGAGUUCGAGACAGUUCAGCACCGCUCUGUACUUUUCUUUCUCUACUUUGACAUUUUCUCAUGGUCAAAUUAUUAGAAGCCCUCUGUCAAAAAUUGUUGUGAGCUACACAGCUAGCUUAUCAUCCAUUCUGACUGCAAAGAGGCUCCGUCCUUCUGUGACAAAUCUUGGUCAGCUCCUGUCAAAUGGUGAUUAUAUUGGAUACCCAUCUGGAUCAUUUGUAUAUUCUGUCUUGAAAAAACAAGGCUUCACCGAAAAUAGGUUAAAGGCUUAUGCGAUGGAAGAGGAAUAUGCUAAUGCUUUGAGAAAGGGCUCAAAGAAUGGAGGCGUCGCGGCUAUAGUUGAUGAGAUCCCCUAUUUAACCUCUUUUCUCUCUGACCCUCGAUAUCAUAACGAGUUUCAGAUGGUUAACGGCUUAUAUAAGACACCUGGAUUUGGUUUUGUGUUUCCACAAGAUUCUCCACUGGUACAUAGUCUUUCAGUUGCCAUCUUGGGCCUGAUAGGUGGGGAUGAGGGAUCACGAAUUGAAGCGAAAUGGUUAGGCACAGCAACACCAUUGCCGAGUUAUGGUAUCCCCAACACAGAUGCCACACCUCUCACUUUGCGAAGUUUCUCUGGUCUCUUCAUCAUCACCAUAUGUAUCUCAGCUCUCAUGCUGUUGAUAAGGAUUGCCAAGUUGGUUCAUGCCAAAUACACCAAAGUGAGGGAUUCUGAUAUGCAGAGUGCCAAUGGGGAUGGUGGAAGUGAAGGCCACGCAGGAUCUGUUCCGCUGCAGAACGACAUGGACGAUGGGCCUAUGGCUGAUCAACCCCACCAUGAAGCCAGAAAUGAGGAUCCCCAGGUUGUCAGUGGGAUCGGAGAAAGUCCUGGUGAUGUAGAGCCCAAUGGCUAUGUGCCUGAACACGCCAUCCUAAUCGAGAUGAGCACUCGAUGA
Molecule: ribosomal RNA, 1443 nt
Filed under: Triticum aestivum (bread wheat)
Lineage: Eukaryota; Viridiplantae; Streptophyta; Magnoliopsida; Poales; Poaceae
Description: partial small subunit ribosomal RNA
Source: RNAcentral